RNAcentral lists this ribosomal RNA (340 nucleotides) under Drosophila wheeleri. RNAcentral's name for it is "eukaryotic LSU rRNA". The record is from RNAcentral. Lineage: Eukaryota; Metazoa; Arthropoda; Insecta; Diptera; Drosophilidae.
CCCGAUGAACCUGAAUAUCCGUUAUGGAAAAUUCAUCAUUAGAAUUGUAAUAUUUAAACAAUAUUAUAAUAAUAGUGUGCAUUUUUUCCAUAUAAGGACAUUGUAAUCUAUUAGCAUAUUAAAUUUAUCAUAAAAUUAUAGCAUAUAGUUUAUUUCAAUUAAAAUGCUUGCGUUUUAACAUGAAAUAAAAGACAUAAAUUUGAUAAAGUGCUGAUAGAUUUAUAAGAAUACAGUGCGUUAAUUUUUCGGAAUUAUAUAAUGGCAUAAUUAUCAUUGAUUUUUGUGUUUAUUAUAUGCACUUGUAUGAUUAACAAUGCGAAAGAUUCAGGAUACCUUCGGG